Lupinus albus (white lupine) is the source of this 642-nucleotide non-coding RNA. NCBI's taxonomy places the organism in Eukaryota, Viridiplantae, Streptophyta, Magnoliopsida, Fabales, Fabaceae. The record is from the annotation of a GenBank genome assembly.
UUUUUUCUCAUAUUUAUUUUGCAAACUAUGAACAAUAGAACAAUAACUUAGAAAACACGCAAAACUAUGAAUCUAUGAUAGGUAUGAGAUGUGCUGAAAAUAUUAUAAGAUAAGUGACUCAUGGUCCCAACCUGCAAACUAGGGUUAGUCCUGCCAUAAAAAGGGAAAGCAAGAAAAGAAAUAAACAAAAAAAAGAAGCAAGUAUAGUAACAGAAAAGUUGAAGAGGUUGAGAGUGAAAGAAAGAGAUAGUGAUGGGUACUUGAAUAAAAGACUAAGGUAAUCAUCAUUCUUGAAAAGGGUUUUGAUUGGGGGGAUUAUAGGAGACAAGAAAUUACUUGGCCCUUGUUUCCUUCAACCUACCCCAAAUUUGUUCCAUUUCUAUAUAUGGAACAAAUACCUAAUUUGCUCCAUUUCUAUAUAUGGAACAAAUACUAAUGAAGUUGAGAUUUUGUGUGGUUAAGUGAAGGGGAGAGCAAGGGUUUAUAUAGAGCCAGGAAGAGAGUUUACUUGCAUCAUUGCGUAUGGAAGGAAUAAGUGUGGGUUUAUAUUCCACUGCCUCAUUCUAUAAUAUUUUAAACAUUUUACAGAAAGAAGAAGUGUAGGAACUUUAUCUUUAUGAUAUCUCUCACUAGCCCAACCAC